GAUGCUCCUGUGGUGAUAUUUUGUUCCUGCUCUAACAAAUAAAGCUCGCCUGAAGAUCAGACGGUGGAUGCAGUCACUAGUUAACCAGGCAGUGAUGGCACACACCUUUGAUCCCAACACUUGGGAGGCACAUGCCUUUAAUCCCAGCAUUUGGGAGGUGGAGAUGGGAAUAAAAAGCAGGCAGACAGGAUCUAUGGCCCAUUCAGUCUGCGGAUUCAUACAGACAGGCGCUCGGUCCUUUUGGAACUGAGGAUUUCAUAGAGGACAUCAGAGAGUUCAAAGAGACUAUAGCAAUGUGGUGUCUCAUAUGUGAGCUGAAUUGGAAAAAAAAUUCUCAGAUGCUACCCUGAAGAGAAUUGUUCAAAUAUUUAAGGGCUUUCUUCAAAAACUAAAACCAGAGUCAUUGCUGGACACUGCUGAGGAAAACUUUGAUACAUUGUAAUGGUUAUAUCAUAGUCAUAUACCUGUGAUGCAAUCCCCAAGGGAUAGAAUGUCACAUGAAGCAACAACACAAGAGGGACACCAGCAUGGAGAGGGGUUUGUCAAUCAGAAGAACACUGUGGCGUUCUGAAGUCAGGACAGACUGUCCAGAAACAUUGAGAAAGAAACAUGAUACAUAGUACCUGAUGGAUUCACACAUUAGAAGGACACUAUCAACUGCAAAAAGCAGCCUAGCCAAACAGGUAGGGAAAAUGAAACAGUUUUCCAGGUGAACCUUGAAAUUAUUUAGAGCCAGUACCAUUUUAAAUAUUUGAUUUUAUUAAGGAAUUAAGAGACCUGCCUUUGUGUGGCAUUUACAUUGCAUUUACUAUAAAUGUGUAGAUAAAGCACAUUUACUUGCCUGUGACAGAGAAAAUCUUCACUUUUUUCUUUUUUGCUAUAAAAACACUUUUUAAAAUGCAUUUUAAAAAUGAUGUGCACAUAUGUGUUUCUGUGUGUGCAUAUGUCACACGUGUUCCCAUGGAGGCCAGAAGAGGACUCCAGAUCAUUUGGAGUUGGAGUUACAGAGGGUUGUAGGUACCCAUGGCAGACACUGAAAAUACAUUUCCAGUCUUUUCUCAGAAAGAGCACUGUGCACUCAUGGACAUUGGGUCAUCUCUCCAGAUUUCUACAUUCUUUCUUCAAAACAAAGCUGUUAUUUUCUUUCUUGGAUGUGGGAAGAAAAACAGCAGUUCAAAAUUCUGUUCCCUUUCUGAAGACCUGCAGGAAAGUGCAUGCCUUAUCUCUGCAUGGAAGUGACUUUCCUAAAGAAACUCUACAUGCUAUGACCUCCAAAGAUGAAGGAUGUGUUCAGGCUAAAUGAAGUGUCCACCAAGACUAUUUCAGAAACAAGUUGUGGGGACAAUAUUGUUGGCUCCAAAGCCAAAAUCAUAAAUUUGGGUAACUUAGUAAACUUUAAAUCUGAGUAAUUCA
Long non-coding RNA from Mesocricetus auratus (golden hamster), 1413 nucleotides. RefSeq lists it as uncharacterized. The transcript is spliced from 3 exons. The record is from RefSeq and is a predicted model, not a curated record. NCBI's taxonomy places the organism in Eukaryota, Metazoa, Chordata, Mammalia, Rodentia, Cricetidae.